This 128-nucleotide ribosomal RNA is filed under the name Cryptosporiopsis sp. 513. RNAcentral describes it as "partial 28S ribosomal RNA". The record is from RNAcentral. Lineage: Eukaryota; Fungi; Ascomycota; Leotiomycetes; Helotiales; Dermateaceae.
UUGACCUCGGAUCAGGUAGGGAUACCCGCUGAACUUAAGCAUAUCAAUAAGGCGGAGGAAAAAAAAAAACACGGCGGUUUUUUAUUUUAGUAGUCUUAAUUUCAAGAAGGAAUUAUUAUCUUUAGGAA